ACGGGUGAGUAAUGUCUGGGAAACUGCCUGAUGGAGGGGGAUAACUACUGGAAACGGUAGCUAAUACCGCAUAACGUCGCAAGACCAAAGAGGGGGACCUUCGGGCCUCUUGCCAUCAGAUGUGCCCAGAUGGGAUUAGCUAGUAGGUGGGGUAAUGGCUCACCUAGGCGACGAUCCCUAGCUGGUCUGAGAGGAUGACCAGCCACACUGGAACUGAGACACGGUCCAGACUCCUACGGGAGGCAGCAGUGGGGAAUAUUGCACAAUGGGCGCAAGCCUGAUGCAGCCAUGCCGCGUGUGUGAAGAAGGCCUUCGGGUUGUAAAGCACUUUCAGCGAGGAGGAAGGUGGUGAGCUUAAUACGCUCAUCAAUUGACGUUACUCGCAGAAGAAGCACCGGCUAACUCCGUGCCAGCAGCCGCGGUAAUACGGAGGGUGCAAGCGUUAAUCGGAAUUACUGGGCGUAAAGCGCACGCAGGCGGUUUGUUAAGUCAGAUGUGAAAUCCCCGGGCUCAACCUGGGAACUGCAUUUGAAACUGGCAAGCUAGAGUCUCGUAGAGGGGGGUAGAAUUCCAGGUGUA
Molecule: ribosomal RNA, 579 nt
Filed under: uncultured Serratia sp.
Lineage: Bacteria; Pseudomonadati; Pseudomonadota; Gammaproteobacteria; Enterobacterales; Yersiniaceae
Description: bacterial SSU rRNA
Rfam family: Bacterial small subunit ribosomal RNA
Source: RNAcentral